Molecule: long non-coding RNA, 2195 nt
Organism: Bombyx mori (domestic silkworm)
Lineage: Eukaryota; Metazoa; Arthropoda; Insecta; Lepidoptera; Bombycidae
Exons: 2
Source: RefSeq, a predicted model, not a curated record
GGACGGCAAAUUUUGGAUUUGUGUCAUGGCUCAGUUUUUAUCAUAGUGUUGUGAUAUCUGAAUAUACGGCAUUUAAAUUGUUCAUAGUUACAAAAUGAAAGGUGUAGCUGAAAAAACAUUGAAAGGCGCUUCACUUCUGUUUUUACCCGAAAUCUGAUAAUUCAAUUUCAUUGCUAUUCGAGAAUGCUGUAAAUUCGGAUCAUAAAAUGCUAUCUUUGAGAAUAGUUUUGUAGUACUUUUAGACCGCCACUGACAAUCGUUAUAACAAAAGUUAUUUUUAAGAGUCUACAUUUACAGCUGUAUCCGGUAAACGAGGACAAAUAGGUACCUAGUCAGUAAUGGAGGUUGAAUACGGGACAUUGUGAAAUAAAAAAAAUCACUGCCGAAAAUUUUUGCCAAUGUUUUUGUGUUCUUAGUUGCAUAUAUACUGGUGGUAGGACCUCUUGUGAGUCCGCGCGGGUAGGUAUCACCACCCUGCCUAUUUCUGCCGUGAAGCAGUAAUGCGUUUCGGUUUGAAGGGUGGGGCAGCCGCUCUAACUAUAAGUCGUCGUGGCCUAAGGGAUAAGACGUCCGGUGCACUCGUGUUGAGCGAUGCACCGGUGUUCGAAUCCCGCAGCCGGGUACCAAUUUUUCUAAUGAAAUACGUACUCAACAAAUGUUCACGAUUGACUUCCACGGUGAAGGAAUAACAUCGUGUAAUAAAAAUGAAACCCGCAAAAUUAUAAUUUGCGUAAUUACUGGUGGUAGGACCUCUUGUGAGUCCGCGCGGGUAGGUAUCACCACUUUGCCUAUUUCUGCCGUGAAGCAGUAAUGCGUUUCGGUUUGAAGGGUGGGGCAGCCGCUGUAACUAUACUUGAGACCUUAGAGUUUAUAUCUCAUGGUGGGUGGCGCAUUUACGUCGUAGAUGUCUAUGGGCUCCAGUAACCACUUAACACCACGUGGCCUGGGAGCUAGUAAAGCCAACUAAGCAAUACAAAAAAAAAAAACUUAAUAAUUUAAUGAGAUUCGUGGUCUAUGAAAAUUGAUGCGUUGAUGUGGAUGGCGUUCGUUAACUACGAGUAUUUUCGCUUUCGAUUGCUUUUUUUUUUUUUUUUUUUCCUACCUAAGCUGAUAGCCCUAGCGGCUAUUUCAGCGUAACCUAACUUUAGUAGGUGAGCUCACGGGGCUCAAACCUGACGAUGUUGCUAACACGAACCCUAGCAAGAGUCGUGCUUCGCAGAAUCUACCACCGGAUCGGAAACGCGACCCACUGAGAAGAUCCGGCGAGAAACUCAGUGGGCUGUGUCUGAGAGUUAAUUUACUCGUCGAGCCCUUCGUCGCAAGCGACGGGUUCGACGAGAACGGUGACCGGUGCUUGAAGUACCUAAAAGCACCGUUAGUGGAUCAGGAGGAUCCGAGAUGACGUGUUUAGGGCGACGUCGACUGCUUUCCAUUCUGUCCGCAGGAUCGGGAAUGUAGUUACCGGCGGCCACGAUGAGAGGGUUCUCGUGUCGUGCCGCUUUAUCGAAGUGGCGCAUGGACGCCGACUGAAGAUACUUACUGAUGGACUCUAAGUCCAGGUCGUCAUGGAGGUCGACGUUCCUGACGAACCACGGGGCUCCGACGGCUAUCCUGCAAAAACGGGAUUGAAUAAUUUGAAAGGAUUUUAAGUGUAUGCGGGCCGCGUGAGCGAACACUACACUUGCAUAGGUCAUGACGGGGCGUAUGCAAGUUUUGUAGAGUGUCACCUUAUUUCUAAGGGACAUUUUACUUCGCCUACAUAUCAUCGGGUAGAGGGAUAGCUUUCGAUUGCUAGUGAAACACUGCUAGCAGCGUUGUAACUAGACUAGGCUUCAAGUGGUAGAUGCAAGGCGUGUAGGGUAGAGCCUCGCGUGCUAUUUUUCCGCAACGAGCAUGUAAUGUGAUAUAAGCAGGAAAAUUUAUGUGAAAUGCACUCUUACGUAAUAUUGUCUACCGUGACGAUAUAUUCCGGACUCGGACGGUUCAGACUGUUCAGCUCACAAUAAUUAUUAGGAUUUUCGCUUGUAGCGUACUUUUAGGGUUGUGCAUGGGCACCAUAAAAAGCUGUUACGUUGUGAACUCGGUUCAGUAGAUCUAAUAGGGAUUUUUUGAUUAUAAAAUAAACUACGAUAAUUAUAAGAAAUUAAAUAUGUAUGAAGUUAUUUAAAAAAUAAAAAUUUAUUGAAACUAAAGAA